Molecule: ribosomal RNA, 379 nt
Filed under: uncultured bacterium
Lineage: Bacteria
Description: bacterial SSU rRNA
Rfam family: Bacterial small subunit ribosomal RNA
Source: RNAcentral
AUUGAACGCUGGCGGCAUGCCUUACACAUGCAAGUCGAACGGCAGCACGGGAGCAAUCCUGGUGGCGAGUGGCGAACGGGUGAGUAAUACAUCGGAACGUGCCCAGUAGUGGGGGAUAACUGCUCGAAAGAGCAGCUAAUACCGCAUACGACCUGAGGGUGAAAGCGGGGGAUCGCAAGACCUCGCGCUAUUGGAGCGGCCGAUGUCAGAUUAGCUAGUUGGUGGGGUAAAGGCCUACCAAGGCAACGAUCUGUAGUUGGUCUGAGAGGACGACCAGCCACACUGGGACUGAGACACGGCCCAGACUCCUACGGGAGGCAGCAGUGGGGAAUUCUGGACAAUGGGGGCAACCCUGAUCCAGCAAUGCCGCGUGCAGGAA